CCUACGGGUGGCAGCAGUCGAGAAUCAUUCACAAUGGGGGAAACCCUGAUGGUGCGACGUCGCGUGAGUGAAGAAGUAUCUCGGUACGUAAAGCUCUAUCAGCAGGGAAGAAAAUGACGGUACCUGACUAAGAAGCCCCGGCCAACUACGUGCCAGCAGCCGCGGUAAUACGUAGGGGGCAAGCGUUAUCCGGAUUUACUGGGUGUAAAGGGAGCGUAGACGGCAGCACAAGUCUGGAGUGAAAUCCCGGGGCUUAACCCCGGAACUGCUUUUGAAACUGUGCGGCUGGAGUGCAGGAGGGGUAAGCGGAAUUCGUGGUGUAGCGGUGAAAUGCGUAGAUAUUAGGAAGAACACCGGUGGCGAAGGCAGCUUACUGGACUGCAACUGACGUUGAGGCUCGAAAGCGUGGGGAUCAAACAGGAUUAGAUACCCUAGUAGUC
This 440-nucleotide ribosomal RNA is filed under the name uncultured bacterium. RNAcentral's name for it is "partial 16S ribosomal RNA". It matches the Rfam family "Bacterial small subunit ribosomal RNA", at positions 338 to 795 of the family's 1533-position model. The record is from RNAcentral.